CAGCCGCCGGUAAUACGUAGGGUGCAAGCGUUAAUCGGAAUUACUGGGCGUAAAGCGUGCGCAGGCGGUUAUAUAAGACAGAUGUGAAAUCCCCGGGCUCAACCUGGGAACUGCAUUUGUGACUGUAUAGCUAGAGUACGGCAGAGGGGGAUGGAAUUCCGCGUGUAGCAGUGAAAUGCGUAGAUAUGCGGAGGAACACCGAUGGCGAAGGCAAUCCCCUGGGCCUGUACUGACGCUCAUGCACGAAAGCGUGGGGAGCAAACAGGAUUAGAUACCCCGGUAGUCCCUGUCUCUUAUACAC
This 301-nucleotide ribosomal RNA is filed under the name uncultured bacterium. RNAcentral's name for it is "partial 16S ribosomal RNA". It matches the Rfam family "Bacterial small subunit ribosomal RNA", at positions 512 to 809 of the family's 1533-position model. The record is from RNAcentral.